Molecule: ribosomal RNA, 500 nt
Filed under: uncultured Glomeromycotina
Lineage: Eukaryota; Fungi; Glomeromycota
Description: partial small subunit ribosomal RNA
Rfam family: Eukaryotic small subunit ribosomal RNA
Source: RNAcentral
CCAAUAGCGUAUAUUAAAGUUGUUGCAGUUAAAAAGCUCGUAGUUGAAUUUCGGGGUCAGUAGAUUGGUCGUGCCACUGGUACGUACUGGUCUUACAGAUUCCUCCCUCCUGAUGAACUGUAAUGCCAUUAAUUUGGUGUUGCAGGGAAUCUGGACUGUUACUUUGAAAAAAUUAGAGUGUUUAAAGCAGGCUAACGCUUGAAUACAUUAGCAUGGAAUAAUGAAAUAGGACGCUCGAUCCUAUUUUGUUGGUUUCUAGGAUUGACGUAAUGAUUAAUAGGGAUAGUUGGGGGCAUUAGUAUUCAAUUGUCAGAGGUGAAAUUCUUGGAUUUAUUGAAGACUAACUACUGCGAAAGCAUUUGCCAAGGAUGUUUUCAUUAAUCAAGAACGAAAGUUAGGGGAUCGAAGACGAUCAGAUACCGUCGUAGUCUUAACCAUAAACUAUGCCGACUAGGGAUCGGAUGAUGUUAAUUUUUUAAUGACUCGUUUGGCACCUUACG